AUUGAACGCUGGCGGAAUGCUUUACACAUGCAAGUCGAACGGCAGCACGGGGGCAACCCUGGUGGCGAGUGGCGAACGGGUGAGUAAUACAACGGAACGUGCCCAGUCGUGGGGGAUAACGUAGCGAAAGUUACGCUAAUACCACAUACGAUCUACGGAUGAAAGCGGGGGACCGUAAGGCCUCGCGCGAUUGGAGCGGCCGGUGUCAGAUUAGGUAGUUGGUGAGGUAAAGGCACACCAAGCAGACGAUGUGUAGCUGGUCGGAGAGGACGACCAGCCACACUGGGACGGAGACACGGCCCAGACUCCUACGGGAGGCAGCAGUGGGGAAUAUUGGACAAUGGGCGCAAGCCUGAUCCAGCCAUUCCGCGUGCAGGACGAAGGCCUUCGGGUUGUAAACUGCUUUUGUACGGAACGAGAAGGCUCUGGUUAAUACCUGGGGCUCAUGACGGUACCGUAAGAAUAAGCACCGGCUAACUACGUGCCAGCCGCCGCAGUAA
This 500-nucleotide ribosomal RNA is filed under the name uncultured bacterium. Its description in RNAcentral is "partial 16S ribosomal RNA". It matches the Rfam family "Bacterial small subunit ribosomal RNA", at positions 29 to 523 of the family's 1533-position model. The record is from RNAcentral.